AUUGAACGCUGGCGGCAGGCCUAACACAUGCAAGUCGAACGAGUGGCGGACGGGUGAGUAAUGUCUGGGAAACUGCCUGAUGGAGGGGGAUAACUACUGGAAACGGUAGCUAAUACCGCAUACCAUCGGAUGUGCACAGAUGGGAUUAGCUUGUAGGUGGGGUAAAGGCUCACCUAGGCGACGAUCCCUAGCUGGUCUCAGAGGAUGACGAGCCACCCUGGAACUGGGACACGGCCCAGACUCCUACGGGAGGAAGCAGUGGGAAAUAUCGCACAAGGGGCGAAAGCCUGAUGCAGCAAUGCCGCGUGUAUGAAGAAGGCCUUCGGGUUGUAAAGUACGUUCAGCGGGGAGGCGUUACCCGCCGAAGAAGCACCGGCUAACUCCGUGCCAGCAGCCGCGGUAAUUC
RNAcentral lists this ribosomal RNA (406 nucleotides) under uncultured bacterium. RNAcentral's name for it is "partial 16S ribosomal RNA". It matches the Rfam family "Bacterial small subunit ribosomal RNA", at positions 30 to 526 of the family's 1533-position model. The record is from RNAcentral.